ACACGCACACACGCAUGGAAGGAGAAGAGAGAAGCCUCUCUUUCUCUCUCUAAAUCUCUCCCAAAGAAGAGGAUUUUGGUGGAGAUUGAAGCCAAGAGAGGAUUCAUCGUCUUCAUCAUCAUCUUCUCCACCUUGAGGGCAAGCUUGAGAGGUAAGCUUUUGCUACCCUUUAAUGGUAGAUCUUUAAUGGUUGGUUUAAAUACCUUAUAAAUGGAUUUAGUGGAAUCCUAUGAUGCUAAAUAGAUGAUUGUUGCUUAAAUCAUGGAUCAAUUUAAUGAUUUCUUGCAAUAGGUGAAACCUAGGGUCCAAAAUGCUAAUUUUUAAAAUAUGAGGGUUUGAUCUAAUUUGACCAUCCGUAAACCUAAUUGCUAGGUAACGAAAUGCGUUGGCGAAGACGGUUCGGCAAUCCGACGAGCCGUUACGAAGUUAUUAAAGAAACGGACGUUUAGGCUUCGGGUCCGCCGGGAGGGCCGAGGCGACGUCGUAAAAUCAUGGAAACGGAUUUGAAGCAUCGUGGCCAUAACCGAAGACCUUUAAUUUCUGGAUCGUGAAUUGGAGGCCGUUUGGGUGGUCGCACGCGAGAUCGGGCCAAACCGGGUGCCGGGUGCCGCGGGCGGCCGAUUGCAGGUGUCGACAAACAAUCGGAACGCGUGUUAAGGUGGGUUGUGCUUACCGAAGCGACUUGGUCGCCCCACAUGUCAAAGCGAAAUAUGGAUUUUUGGUUAAUGCAUUUAUGUAUGUGCAUACGGGCAUAUUUGCAUUGUGUAAAUGCAUGCUAGUUGGUAAUUUGCAUAUUAGUAUGUAUGCUUAGUGAAAUACAUGCUUGGGGCAUUUAGCAUUAUGAGAUUCAUGUUGACAUGUAUUAGAAAACAUGAGCAUAUAAAUGAAUGUUAACCUAUUGUUAAUCUUAUGAGUUAUGAGAUCAUGUUGGGUAAUGUUUAGUGAUAAUUGCAUAAUAAUGCAUUGGGAAGUAAUCGCUUAUUAACUAGGAUGCAUAGCGAUAUAUAUGUGCAUUGGAAUGUAUGCUAGGUGCAUGUAGCAUUAUGUGAGCCGGUUGGAUAAAAAUGCAUAAGUGCAUCAUGUGAAUACAAGUUAGAUUGACAAGAGCAUAUUGAC
RNAcentral lists this long non-coding RNA (1116 nucleotides) under Ananas comosus (pineapple). Its description in RNAcentral is "long non-coding RNA (ACOM_LNC010200)". The record is from RNAcentral. Lineage: Eukaryota; Viridiplantae; Streptophyta; Magnoliopsida; Poales; Bromeliaceae.